Molecule: long non-coding RNA, 1607 nt
Organism: Marmota monax (woodchuck)
Lineage: Eukaryota; Metazoa; Chordata; Mammalia; Rodentia; Sciuridae
Exons: 3
Source: RefSeq, a predicted model, not a curated record
AUGAGAAGCGCAGCUGAGUCCUGAUGGGGACGGCGCCACUGAAGAGGGAGGACUCGCUGCUGAGCAACCUAGCGGGGCCUUUUUGAAGUUCCAGGGAGGAAGCAGGCGAGCAGAAGCUCCUGGCGGAGGGUGACAGAGCUGGAAUGGAACCCUUGGCGUGCAAGGCAAGCGCUCUACUACUCUACUACUGAGCUACAGCCCCAACUUAAGUGGGAUCUUGCAGGGAGGUUUGGGUCCCCUGCGCUUGGGUCUGGCGCAGGCUACUGAAUGCUGUUGAGCCUCUCCCCGCCCCACCCUCAUAGGCGGCAGCCUCGGCUCACCUGGUUCUCCCAGCCUCAGCAGCCGCAGCUGAAGCUGGAGGGAGAGUUUAAUUGGCAGGCUUUUGGGUUAAAGAGAAAUACCGCUUUGCUGGGGUGGGGACUAGUCGAUGGAGGGGGAAGGGGUUGGAAAAAUACUGAAAGAACCAGCAAAUACAGCCAGGCAACAACAGGAUAUGGAGGCUGCAGAGACGCAGGAGGAAGGGAGAGGGGCCUUGCCAGGCUGGCUUGUGCCACUGCCUAGCAGAGGCCCUCAUCCCCCCUCCAUGCUGGGGACCACCCAGCCUCCCUGCAUCUUCACAGUCCGCUUUCAGGCAGCAGUCUUGGUUAGAAGGCAGGGCUAAUCUGGGACACUUAUUCAUUUAAUUUUAUUACUGUACUGUGGGUACAAGUGUCUGCCAACUCUAAGGCCUUGUCAGUGUUACACCUCUCUAGGCUGGGAGUUGCAGCAUAAUGAAACCCAGAGAACUCUGCCCUGUCCCUCACUUAGUAAUGACUGAUCUGAAGGCCUCUGGGCAAGGGUCUCCUGGGACCACCAUGCGUCAGCUGGGCCAAGCACACGACAACCCUGGUGAGGACCACAAUGCUGAGCUCACAGUCUGAGAGUUGGAGGGAACCCUUGGGAGCCGUCCAGUUCUCCGCCAUCUUGUAACAAAUGAGACCCACGGAGGGGAAGGGUCUUGCCUACCGGCAAACAAUUGGAGUACCUGAAAUAAUUUGGGCCUUCACUGAAUGAUGGCAGGGAGGCAUGAAUGGCGUCUCUUCAUCUUAUUGCAGUUUGGGGGAUCUGGGGGUGGGCAUGUGUGUGCUUUUCUCCCGUCUGUGCCAGCCUCUCUCCAGCUCACUCCUUCCUACUCCCCCAGCCCAAGUGGCUAGCUUGUGUGAUGACCCUUCUGAAAUGUCCUGUGUGGCCCUCACCUUUACCUGCAUGCACUCACAUUUCAUGGUGGCUCUUCUGAAGACUCACCUUUAGACCCCAUGAAGGCAUUUUUUGGGGGGGACCUGAGUGACCUUGGUCCAGGCCCCAUUCCUCCCUGGGCCUCAGCAUCUCCAGCUGUAAGGUGGAGGUGGGGUGGGGCAUUUGGAGGUUUCUAAGCAUCCUUUCCAGCUCUGACAUCUAGGGACUGCCCACAGCUGGUUCGUGGGUCCUCUAGGCCAGGGCCCAUCUGCUGCUCCCUCUGCUUGGGGCAGCAGUGGGAGCAGUACUGGGCCCCAGUGAGCAGCCGAAAGACAGGAAGAUUUGUCACUGAUUCUCCUCGUGUGUCCUAAGCAUCCUAGUCUCCAGCUGCC